Molecule: long non-coding RNA, 459 nt
Organism: Myotis davidii
Lineage: Eukaryota; Metazoa; Chordata; Mammalia; Chiroptera; Vespertilionidae
Exons: 4
Source: RefSeq, a predicted model, not a curated record
UUCUUCUUCAUCGUUAAAAAUUUUUGGCUUACAACUUGAGGGGCCUGGGAAAAAUUACUUUAUUUUGAGUGAAGUACCUGAAUGAUGAGAAAUUCAAAACAGAUUUGGUAAUUUGCCCAAGAUCACACAGUAAAUACAAGAGCUGACAUUUGAACUGGGUCUGACACCAGAGCCAGCACUCCUGAUUACUAUGUAGGUUGUAAAGAGAUGCAGUUGUGAAAUGCCUAAGGCAGUAGUUCUCAACUUUAGCGUGUGCUUUAGAACCACCUGCAAGACUUACAACCCAAAUUGGUGGACUCCAACUCUGGGAGAUCACCUGAAGAUUUGAAUUUCUAACAAGUGCUCACUGAUGGUACUGGUUCCUGGAAUAUACUUUGAGAACCACUAGAUCUGGUGUAACAUCUCAUGAAAAGGUGGUUUCAGCCUCAGAGAAAGUGGGAAGAGAGGGAAAGACGGAGA